AUACGGAGGGUGCAAGCGUUACUCGGAAUCACUGGGCGUAAAGGACGCGUAGGCGGGAAGCCAAGUCUGAUGUGAAAUCCUAUGGCUUAACCAUAGAACUGCAUUGGAAACUGGUUACCUAGAGUAUGGGAGGGGGAGAUGGAAUUAGUGGUGUAGGGGUAAAAUCCGUAGAUAUCACUAGGAAUACCGAAAGCGAAGGCGAUCUCCUGGAACAAUACUGACGCUAAGGCGUGAAAGCGUGGGGAGCAAACGGGAUUAGAUACCCUAGUAGUCC
Molecule: ribosomal RNA, 274 nt
Filed under: uncultured bacterium
Lineage: Bacteria
Description: partial 16S ribosomal RNA
Rfam family: Bacterial small subunit ribosomal RNA
Source: RNAcentral